CGCUUCUGUACUCCCUCCAUCUCCCCAACAUCCAUCACCUUCUUCCGAUCUCUGCUCAUGGCGGCCCACCAGCAGUGCGGUUCACAGAAAACCCAUUUGGAUGACGACCCCAAAUAUCUAGAGAAGUACCCGGUGCCUCUGUCUCCGCCAUUGCCAGCCGUAUCCAAGGACAUGGAGCUGAGCCGAGCCAUGUCAGCUUCUUCUAAAUCAGCUCUCUUUUCUCUAUGUAGAACCGACGUGCUUCUCGAAGACGACUGGCUCAUUGCCUUGAACAAACCCCAGGGGGUUUACUGUGAGACGAUUUUGGCUUCUGUCCCGAGUCUACUCAACGAUUCUCCUGAUGAAUCGAGGGAAGUCGGUACCCAAUCAAAGAAGCUGGAGUUCCAUCUUGCAAAUAGACUUGAUCGUGAUACAAGUGGUGUGAUAUUAAUCACCAAAUCACAUAAAGUAGCUGCAAAGCUCGUUAAGGCUUUCACGGAUCACAAAAUCAGGAAAACAUACAUUGCUUUCUGUGUCGGGCAGGCUCCAAAAUGGAAAAAGAUCACUGUUAAGUCUGGCCAUGGUCGAUCAAAGUUUGGAGCUUGGCGUGUCUAUGCUGCAACAGAUGUGGGUAGGACACUACCUGGUGGAUCUUCCGUUAGAAACAUGGAAACUUUGUUUGAAGUGUUAGCAAUAAACGGACAAAGAUGUUAUCAAGAGUCGAGUGAGUUAGAAUUAGGUAUAGUUGUUAAAGAGAAAUCUGUGAUUGAAUGUGAUGGAAAUAAGGUCGAGGUUUUGGUGAGAGCAUUUCCUCAAAGUGGAAGAACGCAUCAAAUCCGCUUGCAUUGUCAGUAUCUUGGAAUUCCGAUAAGGGGAGAUGUGAAAUAUGAGGGUGUUUAUGAGUGGAAUGGGGUGGUUUAUGAUGGUCACCAACUUCAUGCCGAAAGCUUGUCUUUUGAGCAUCCUGUGACUGGUUCUCCGAUUGUUAUUCAGGCCUCUUUGCCGUUAUGGGCUACUGAAGUGAUGGCAUCAUCUUCCGAGCGUUUUUGAUACCAUCCAUUGCCAACAUGAUAAGAAACACACUUUAGGGAUAGAGGAUGUGUAUGCGUACAUCUCACCUGACCGAAUUUUCAAGUGGGAUACCGGGUUCAUUUGGUUAAUUGACUCUUCUCAAACGGGAUGAACCACAACUUUCUUAGCAGCUUUAGCCUAACAGAUCGAGUUAUGGAGCAUGCUGUUUCCUUGUACACGGAGGGAAAACAUUUAGCAGAAAUGUUGGUAUUUGGUUGAUUUUUGUAUACAUAAAGCAUACAAACCGAAAGUAUUUGCACUACGGCCUUAAUUGACUAAAAGAAGAGAAAAAAAAUAGGCAUAUUUAGGGUUCAUAGGCAAAAGUUUGAUCGACCCAUUAAUUUUUGGCGGUUUUGAGCUUCGAAUUUCUUGUAUUCUAGUUAUUUCUCUUUGAUGGCGUUUUCCAUGAGUGUUUUGUUGUUUACUGUUGCAUUUCAUGAUGAAAUU
RNA transcript from Cynara cardunculus var. scolymus (artichoke), 1497 nucleotides. It is a transcript of the gene named RNA pseudouridine synthase 1, with no coding region annotated. The record is from RefSeq and is a predicted model, not a curated record. Lineage: Eukaryota; Viridiplantae; Streptophyta; Magnoliopsida; Asterales; Asteraceae. The transcript has 4 exons.